This 373-nucleotide long non-coding RNA is filed under the name Brachypodium distachyon (stiff brome). RNAcentral describes it as "long non-coding RNA (BDIS_LNC005024)". Lineage: Eukaryota; Viridiplantae; Streptophyta; Magnoliopsida; Poales; Poaceae. The record is from RNAcentral.
UCAGUUGCUGCAUGCUACUUGGGCAAGAAAUUUCCAGGAAGAAAGUUGUCGCAGUUGCUGCUACUUGAGCAAGAAAUUUCCAAGAAGAAAGUUGGAACAUACUACUACAGUACCGCGCAUACACCUGCGAUCGAUUGCACGCCAAAAAAGAAAAACUUGGAUUGUAGGAGUACGUGGCUGGCAACACGGACAAAUUAAUCUUGCAUAGGUGGCCUCCCACCCCUUCGGAAAGCUGAUACUGUACCAACAUGAUGUGGCUGCCCCCUACCGGAAUUAGGUAGCGAGAGCAACACACGGCUAUCUGAAUCGGAAUCCAUGUGCACGCGUAUGUGUAGCCCCCCGGCCCGGCCCCGGGCCUCUGCCCGCGCGCGGC